AGUGAACGCUGGCGGUAGGCCUAACACAUGCAAGUCGAACGGCAGCACAGUAAGAGCUUGCUCUUACGGGUGGCGAGUGGCGGACGGGUGAGGAAUACAUCGGAAUCUACUUUUUCGUGGGGGAUAACGUAGGGAAACUUACGCUAACACCGCAUACGACCUACGGGUGAAAGCAGGGGAUCUUCGGACCUUGCGCGAUUGAAUGAGCCGAUGUCGGAUUAGCUAGUUGGCGGGGUAAAGGCCCACCAAGGCGACGAUCCGUAGCUGGUCUGAGAGGAUGAUCAGCCACACUGGCACUGAGACACGGUCCAGACUCCUACGGGAGGCAGCAGUGGGGAAUAUUGGACAAUGGGCGCAAGCCUGAUCCAGCCAUACCGCGUGGGUGAAGAAGGCCUUCGGGUUGUAAAGCCCUUUUGUUGGGAAAGAAAAGCAGCAGGUUAAUACCCCGCUGUUCUGACGGUACCCAAAGAAUAAGCACCGGCUAACUUCGUG
Molecule: ribosomal RNA, 492 nt
Filed under: uncultured bacterium
Lineage: Bacteria
Description: partial 16S ribosomal RNA
Rfam family: Bacterial small subunit ribosomal RNA
Source: RNAcentral